RNAcentral lists this non-coding RNA (771 nucleotides) under Erotylinae sp. 4 ACP-2013. The record is from RNAcentral. Lineage: Eukaryota; Metazoa; Arthropoda; Insecta; Coleoptera; Erotylidae.
ACAAAUUUUAUUAUAAUUUAAAGUUUAAAUAUAUUUAUUGUUUUAUAUGUAAAUUUUUGUAUAUUUUAAGUUUAGAAAGCUUAGUAAUAUUGCAGUAAUUAGUUUUAAUAUUUUAGAUAAUUCUAGAUUUAGAAAUAAGUUUAAAUAUUUGCAAAAUUUGUGCCAGCAGUUGCGGUUAGACAAAUAAUAUAAUUUAAACUUAUUAGUUUUAAUUAAUUAAAAUUGGUUUUUAAUAAAAAUUUAAAUUUAUUAAGUGAAAUUUUAAAUUUAAUUUUUAUUUGUUAUUAUAAAUGAAGUUAAAAAAUUUAUUUAUAGACUAGGAUUAGAUACCCUAUUAUUUUAAAUGUAAUUUUAAAAAACUAAGUGAUUAAUAGUUAUGAUCUUUAAAAUUAAAAAAUUUGGCGGUAUUUUAGUCUAUUCAGAGGAACCUGUACUAUAAUUGAUAAUCCACGAUUAAUUAAACUUAUUUUAAAUAGCUUGUAUAUCGUCGUAGUUUGAAUAUUUUAAGAGAAUUUUAAUAUUCAAGAUUUUUUUUAGAAAAAAAAUCAGAUCAAGGUGCAGUUUAUAAGUAAGUAGAUAUGGGUUACAUUAUAUUUUAUAUAUUGAUUAAUUUAUGAAAUUUAAUUAUGAAAAUGGAUUUGAAAGUAAUUUAAAUAAAUUUAUUUAAAUGAUUUAAGCUCUAAAAUAUGUACAUAUCGCCCGUCGCUUUCAUUUUAAAAUGAAAUAAGUCGUAACAAAGUAGGUGUACUGGAAAGUGUGCCUAGAAAGUCA